Molecule: microRNA, 23 nt
Filed under: Gorilla gorilla (western gorilla)
Lineage: Eukaryota; Metazoa; Chordata; Mammalia; Primates; Hominidae
Also listed under: 4 other names
Description: ggo-miR-1193
Source: miRBase by way of RNAcentral
GGGAUGGUAGACCGGUGACGUGC